AGAUGUAGAGUCUUUUGGACCUGA
Molecule: small nuclear RNA, 24 nt
Filed under: Arabidopsis thaliana (thale cress)
Lineage: Eukaryota; Viridiplantae; Streptophyta; Magnoliopsida; Brassicales; Brassicaceae
Description: snRNA_18159
Source: RNAcentral